Long non-coding RNA from Eriocheir sinensis (Chinese mitten crab), 2192 nucleotides. RefSeq lists it as uncharacterized. Lineage: Eukaryota; Metazoa; Arthropoda; Malacostraca; Decapoda; Varunidae. The transcript is spliced from 3 exons. The record is from RefSeq and is a predicted model, not a curated record.
ACUAUCAUUCCAACCUCCCACUGAUGUGUUAGAUCCCUGAACCCCUACCUGCUGUUCUUUACAAUGUGUUUAUAAUGUGUACAUUUUUAGCUUAGCGGCUGGUAAGACCAAAUACACUAUAUUAUUACUAUUAACACACACACACUUGACCAGUAAGCCCAGGCCACAACAGCCAGCCCAGCACAGUCACCAAAAAGAUCAGACCUUUCACAGGACCCACCAACCACAUGAAGCCUGGGGUGGAAAGUGAAUAACAGAUCAUGCCGUCACAGUCCCCAUUUGUUCCAACAGAUGAAUAUUUUCUGUCUCUGUGCUACACACAGCCCUGUAACACCACCACAACAAACACUUGCACUCACACACACAGCAGAACUGAAUCAGCACAGCACCUCAGGAGAAGUGGACCUUCAUGUGCCUGACAAUCUCACCCUUAGUCAUGAAACGUUUCCCACAAACAUCGCACUUGAACCCUUUAUGACCAGAGUGUCUGAAGACGUGCAUGUCCAAUAUACUCUUCAGUUUGAAUCUUUUCCCACAAACUUCACACUCGUGACUUCUUGCAUCAGUGUGUGUAACAAGGUGUAAUUUGAGGGUACCCUUCUGACUGAAACAUUUCCCACAAACUUCACACUCAUGAUUUCUUUCACCAGUGUGUGUAAGAGUGUGUAAUUUGAGGGUACCCUUCUGACUGAAACAUUUCCCACAAACUUCACACUCAUGAUUUCUUGCACUGGUGUGUGUAAGGGUGUGUGUGUUGAGGGUACCCUUCUGACUGAAACAUUUCCCACAAACUUCACACUCAUGAUUUCUUGCACUGGUGUGUGUAAGGGUGUGUGUGUUGAGGGUACCCUUCUGACUGAAACAUUUCCCACAAACUUCACACUCAUGGUUUCUUGCACCAGUGUGUGUAAGGGUGUGAUGUUUGGGGUUACUCCUAUUACUAAACCUUUUGCCACACUCCCGACUUUCAUGAGGUCUUACACCAGAGUGUGUGGGUGUAUUUGUUGAGGUCAUCCUUCCCUGCAUGUCUUUUCUCACACUCUUGGCUUUGGUCAGUAAACUUGCUCUCAUUCUCAGAUCUUCUCACACUUCUGAAAUUCAAACUUCCCCCUUUGUGGAUGAAGAGGCCAGCAGUUGUUGUUGUUGUUGUUGGUUGUGUUGGUGGUGUUUUUUAUCACUCCUGAACCUCACACCAGUAGCAGUCUGCUCCUGCUGAUCCCAGCCACUCCAGCUGCUGUCCUGCCUUGCAGCCUCCACUGCAACACUACUCUGGAUGUGAGGAGUUGGCUGGCCUUGAGGAACCUCAGAGAUGCUGGAGAAGGCGGCGAGGUUGCUUCAAAGCCACACUCAGUGACCAAUUGAGCAGGCAAGGCGAGGGAUGCACCAAGGAGUCCUGAAGUCAGCGGCAGCAGGGACGGAACAAGUACUGACCACAGCAACUGUCUCGAUGCCUCACUUCAACACUAACACCAGUGGUGGACAUUGGGACACAAAGUCAUGUGCUGAAAAAAAAAAAAAAAGACUGGUAAGGAAACUGAAGUUGGUGGGAGGGAUCAGGGCGGUGGUGGGUGCACCGAAGGCAAGCCACAGGCCACCGGGUCAGGCAAAUAGUGCGUGUACUGAUAAUAAACUAAUGCAAUAAUAUAUUCAUUGAUAAAUAUGUCUUUUGAACUAACCUAAAUAAAUCUGAAGCGAUAUUCGUAACAAUACUAAGUCAGAACUACACGUAAAUGGACAAUAUCCAGCGACCAAAGCUGCAAGCUUGAUAGUUUUAAGGCCUGUUAACACAUUAAUAGUGUAACAUACCCGCCAGCAUACCAACACCGUGGACGCCAGUUAAAAGCCAGCUGGGAAAAUUGGGAAUACCCCCUUGUACUUGGCCAUGGUUAUUUACCGGAUCCAGUUUCUCCUCAGCCAAAACAAUACCCGUAGCGGUUAAUAUGUUAUAAGUAGGUAAGGGAAGAGAACGAGAAAUACGAACCACAGCUUGAGUUGGCACCCCUGAUAUAAAUCCACUCUAACCAUAUAUUUUUAUAUAUUUAUACGUUACGUCUUAGAAAAUAAGGGAAAAUUAAGUUUAGAAUCAACACACAAAAAGACAACCUCAGAAAGGCAGAGGAAGGAUAGAUUAAUGUACCAAGCUGAAAGGCGAGAAGGAAAAGUGUUAGAACCUGGGGAAGGCCACGUCAGAG